Long non-coding RNA from Gasterosteus aculeatus aculeatus (three-spined stickleback), 28737 nucleotides. Lineage: Eukaryota; Metazoa; Chordata; Actinopteri; Perciformes; Gasterosteidae. The record is from Ensembl.
CUAUUUUACAUCUCCACGGGGCACCAGGAAACACAGGCAUCAUCAUCUUCGAAGCCUUUUUGUCUUAAAUCACCACAGCUGUUCUCCAAUCCAGUCCUGCCAGCAACGUUCCCUUUGCUAAAAAAGAUUAAGAAUUCGACCAGCCACUGCUACUGAUCCGUCCUGCCCUUCUAGUUUCCGGUUCCGUUACUUUCCUGAGUGAGGUGUCCAGUCCGUCUCGUUCCUCUCCUCGUUUGCAUCCCGCCUGCUCGUCCACUGUCUUGCCGUCCUCUCGCUUGAUUUUACUGUGGCUUCUGCUCUCCUAGGGCUUUUCCUUCCCCUCUCAUGCCGUCCUUUAUAGCAGCUGUGUUAAUUAUAGAGGGGAGGUCCUUUCAUUGUGUAAUGCGGUUGGCCAGGACUCUCUGUAAUUGAUUAGUCCCUCCAGGUGCAUGUAGUUUACUGAAAGGUGGAUUAAUACGUAAAAAUGUAAUAAAACCAACCAUGCUAAAAUGUAAAAACAAGCCAUACUAAAAUGCAAAACCAAACCAUGCUAAAAUAUAACAAACCAAUAAUUUACAGAAACCACAAUGUCCCCCUGGUGACACAUACAUGGAAUUUGCCUCCGGUUAAUCCUUUGCUCUUCACAUACUGUAUUCCAGUCUACAACAGUAAAUGCAUUUACAGGACUCUAAUCACAUCCCAAUUAUUCAAAGACAAGCCGUAACAUUUAUUAUUAAUUAGAUGUUAAUCAAGCUAUUAUCAUGCCCUGUAUUAUAAAGGUUGAAUAAGACAGGUCACAUGGUCUUAUAAACCACUUAAACUUAAUUUUGAUCCAUAGUUUAACACUGCUAUCUCUGAACAUUCUGAAAGUAAAAUGAUGAUUUUGGAAUUGAUAGUGUUGCGUCUUCGGUUUGCAUGAGCAGUCAACAACCCUUGUUUCAGCCAUGAAUUAAUUGAAAGCAGAAGUUAAACUUAUCAAAGCCUAAAUUCAAUCAAUAAUUCUCCACAGCUGAAUACAAAACAUGACAAGCUUGCAUAGAGAAAUGUUUGCAUGAUUAAAAGACCUGGAGCAAAGAGCCAGUUUGCUGAAUCAUACAAUUUCUUUGUUUACGCGUUCAAAAAACCCACAAAUAAUUACAAAUAAUUAGUCUCAAAAAGGGAUGGUGAGGCUAUGGAGAGGAUGCAGCAACAGCUUAAUUAACCAUUCCUUUUGAUUCUGGCAUCAUUUUGGGACAACCCGUUGCAAGAGGUUGUAUGCUCUAUGACUUGAGACUAAAAGAUGAGCAAUAAUUUGACCCCUGAAAUAUUAACAGAAAGAAUCACAUUUAUCAUCUGUAAAACAAAACAGUCACAAAAAUAAGGUAAUUUAUGUGAUUAUAAUAAAAAAAGGCUUUCGUUCAUGGAAUAAAACAGAAUGUUUACAUACAAACAGUAGACAAAAAUCACCAUAUGAUUAAAUGUUUGGUUCUUCUAAGCCCAAUAUGUGCAUGAAUGGAGAAUGUGGAGCUAUUCGUCCUGGUUCAAAGCCUGUUUUUAACCUCUGUUAAAAAUGCAGUUUACAGGAGAAAGCUGAAAUAAUACAGCAAUGACACAGCAGCGAUCUGUCUUAAAAGAAUUUCACAAAUCCAUUACUGGAGCAGCAGUCUACACUUCUUUGAUUGUGGGGAAAACAAUGCUGACGAAACGUCUGUGUACAGAAGACACCCGGAGGUCACCAGUAUAGCUAACAUUUGGGUCUGGAUGUUAGAAUUCCUGCAGCACCUUUUGGUUAAGUGAUCUGAAUAAUAUUCUUAAAUAUGGAUUCACAAAAGGGGUUUAAUAUUGAAUAGAUACGUGGAGCAGAAAAUUAUAUGUAUAAGAAAAGUAAUACGUUGUGGAUUACUCAAACUCAACUUAUUUUAGGAUUUAAUCUUUAUGUCAUAAUAAAAUAUAAACUUUUCUUUGAUGUUCUUGUCACCAGGGAUUCAUGGGGGUGCAAUGGUUAGCACUGUGCAAAGAGCAGCCUCUUACAAGGAAGAGGUACUUGUUAAGACAAUAUGAUCCAUUUGUAACAUUUAAACUGACUAGGCUAUUGAUACAUAAUAUAUUUGUAUGGAUACAAUUUCCCUUGAUUGUUGCUGUAACUGAAAUAGAAGUACCCUUAUGCAAAUUCUAAAAUAAAAGUCUAUACUCUGAUUUAGUCAUGAGUUGUUAGUAUAAAUGAUGCGGGAGCUAAAACGGGUCAUAAACAAACAAUUCAAAAGCAGAAAUAAGUUUGAGCAGUGAGAAUGGUGCUGAAUCUGAUUGAAUGAAUCUUUUUGACACUUAAAAAAUGGCUUAAGAAUAAUCGUUACCACUUUAUUUAAAAAAAAAGAAAAUACACUGCAGCACUGUGUGAUUCACCUCAGAGAAAGAAUGUCCUAAAGUGAGAUCAAAGAAGGUCGUCAGGCAGCUGUAAUCAUCUUUUCUUCCUUAGUUUUACUAAACUUUCUCAUAGGGGCUCUUUCACUCCUUGCCUCCCAAAAAGGAAAAUUAUAGCUUUAUACUUUUCGUAAUUUAUUUCCGACAAUAUAACGCUUGCUCACAUUUUAUUGAAUUCAUGUUAAUGUACUUGUCAGCGGCCGAGGUUUCUUCUUAAAAACUAAAAGUGUUGCCAACAACGCCACCUAGGUAAAAGCCCUAGUAACUAAAUAAUUAAAAACAAAGGUUUGUUUGGAGGGGAGCAGUAAAACAAUGACCCAAGAGGCGAAAAGGGCGGAAAUACGACUAAAAAAAUAUUUAUUUUGAUAAAGAUUAAAAUAUAUAAAAGGGAGCUAAAAUAGUCCGUCCAGGGUCAUCACCACAGCAGGAGCGAAGUCCUGCGCGUCCCUGGUCCACUGGUUUGGACGUCUGACUGCCAGUCGCCCUCUGCUGCUGCUGCUUCUGGUGGUGCGUCGUCUGCUGCUGGUGCUGCUGCUGCUGGUGGUGGGUCUGCUGCUGCUUCUGGUGGUGCGUCGUCUGCUGCUGGUGCUGCUGCUGCUGCUGGUGGGUCUGCUGCUGCUGCUGCUGGUACCUCUGCUUCUGCCUUUCUUUCCUUGCUCCUUCUCCCUUCUCUCGUGUCUCGUUUCUUCCCGGUUCUCCUUGUUGCUCCCCGGUUCUCCUUGUUUUCUCCUGUGCCACUGUUCUGUCUUCCUGCUUAAAAAGAGAAAGUUCUGCCCCUGGCCUUUCCCCAUUGGUCCAUUUGCCAUAUGCCACUAAUUGCUAAUUAGUUGGGGACGAUUGUCAAUUGAGGACACAACUCAAAACAAAACUCAAAGCAGAUUAUAAAUUGUCCAACAUGCAAUCACAAAACAACAAGUAAUGAAAACAUGCAAUCAUAAAAUAAUAAAUUGUAAAACAUGCAAUCAUAAAUCAAUAAAAUAUGCAAUCAAUUGUGCAUGCAAUCAAUUGUCCCCAAUCGUCCACCCAGUGACAUACUUGAUGGAAGAAUACAUUGAGUUUAGCUGAUCAUAUUCCACGUCUGAGGAAUACACCCAUGUAUAGCGAUUUAAAAGGCGCAGGCAGAAGUAGGACCCAAUUGCAGACUUCAAACAAAAACUUUAUUAAGAACAACGGUAACGCAGACUAACGGCACAACUCAAUGAACCGACAAGAGACACACACGCAGUUCAAAUACACUGUGAAGGUGCGGGUGAUUAGUCACAGCAGAAAACACUUGGGGACACACCAGACAAUGGCUGGAUUCAAAUUGUCAAGUUUGGUUAGGAAGGUUCAUAACUGAGUGAAAUGACGCAGGAGUAAUGUAAGUGGCCGCCAUAAUAAGAGCUGUUUGAAGUCUCCAACGCUAAGGGAAUGAGCUUUAAUGCUCCCCCACUUAGCUCCUUUAGCAUAGGAACCACUGGACCAUCCUUUAAAAACGAAAAGGAGAUGAUUCUGUCCCACAAUUCCCUGCGGCGGCAAUAUUUAAAUAGUGCCUUAUCAUUCAUGAGAAAUAACAAUGAAGACCGAGUCAUGUAAGUAACCGUUGCCAUAACUCAUUUUUACUUCAGCCUUGUUAAUAAACUAACAGUUUGAACCCGGUUGUUUUAUGUCGUCUGCAUGACUUGGCACAGUAACAACAAAUGGACAAAGGCUAAGAUGCUUCUUUGUAGUUCAUCUUUUGGGAAAUUGUAGACGUUUUCCAAAGAGGUCAAGGAAAUGUUAGUAAGUCAUUUUUCGACAAUACAAAUCCAGGCAAUGACCCAUAGGAGAAAACACCAGGGAAGGAAGUAAAGUCAACCCAGGGACACGAAAGGCAGGAAACCACAAAAUAAAACUAGACAUGAACUGACAAGAAGUGGCAAAAAGAGAUGAACUGCAGGACAGAAAGAAGAGAAAUGGCAAUAGAACUGCUGAUAGGACUGUCUGUCCUAAUUAGCCAGCUCAAAAGAAGGAAGCACUGCAUGUCAGUCUGCGGCAUACAGGGGAGCUUUGUGGUGACUAAAGGAGGUCUGGAUCUUUAUCUGACAAAGAGAGAGGAAGCGUUGAGUUUCAACCCUGUCAGCAGGUUUUUGAAGCCGGCGAAGAAGCAGGGCAUUGUGCUAUCUUGGGCUUUCAGCCCGACAGGCUUUUGCCUUGUUGUAAUGUGGGAUAAAUAGUUAACAUGCUCCAUUUUCACCCCCAGCCAGUAUGAGCCAGGCCAGAGUUCAGUCGCCUUCAUGAAUAAAACAUGGUGGGUAUUAUUUAUUUGCAAGGAGAUAACUAAUGUGAUUUCUAAAGUCCAGACUUUUUCAUAUUGGGAUCGACAACCAAUUGGUUAUAGCUUUACUCUAUAUAUUAGAAUAUUGGCUUUUGUUGAAAUUUGUUUCAAAGGAUUAUGUGCAACACAAUUUAAAUGACGACUACUGAAAAGACAACCUCUCUCCUUUGUACUGCUUUGCUUAGUACACAGAAGAGCUGCUGAAGAAAAAGAAACGUCAGUGAUCAAUAAACCGUGGUCACAACAUCUAGAGUUUCUGACAUUGCAAGUAACAAAAAAAAGAGGAAUAUAUCAGAGUGUGUGCCUCUACCCCAUUAUGCAACCAGCAGGGAGGGGUAAUGUAAUAGAAAAAUGUAGGUUUAUUGACAUAUUGAUUUCAAAGCCUUGAGGUGAUGGAAACACUGAGCAAUAUCUAACUUGUAUGGACUAAAGAGUAAUCUUCCAAUUAAAACCGCUCAAGGGUGCUGUAAAUAGAUUUUGGCCGAGAAAGAAACUGAUAAUUACUUUGGGCUGCACUACAUUUUGGGUGUUAUAGGAGGGUAAAAUAUGCAGCGAGCACACUCAGUAUCUACACAGAUGAUUUCCAAAGUAGAGAGCAUUGAGUGCAUAUGAUUUUUAGUUGACUGCCCCCAUAUCAGAGACACAGAAUCAAGCAACUGUUGCUUUAAAACAAGGUAGAGGACUGUUACGCCCCCCUCUUUGGGUCUAAUGGUUGAGGGGAGUACCCAGGGAGAAAUUGAGUUGGUAACAGAUGCCUUUCCAACAUGAUACUGUACCAAAACUGCGGCAACCAUCUUAUGGUUGUUCGACAACUCCCUCUUGUACACCUAUGGAAGGAUGGCAUGUUGACAUGUUAAGGUACCUUGAGUGGUAAAAGGACAAGUCAAUACCAGAGCCGUAUAGGUCGUCUCUACCACGUUGUCUCUACCAGGUCGUCUUUUCCACGGCAUCGUAUCUUCCACGAGAAUUCUGCGACUACUUCUCUGCUGGAGCAUCUCUACCACGACGUCUCUACCACGGCAACUUUAUCAUGAUGUCUCUACCACGGCGGCUUGACCUAUACGGCUUGACCACUUAAUCUUUACCAUGACUUCACCUCUGCUAGGUCUCGACCAUAGCUACUUUGCCAUUACGUCUCUACCAUUGCGUAUCCACCACAGCGGCUCUAACAAAACGACUAUACCACGACGUCUCUACGACGGUCCUACAACACUGGCUCUACCAGGACAUUUCUACCAAGGCGUUUAUACCACGACAUUUCUACCACAAGGUCUCUACAGUGUCUGUACCCCAUCAUUGUCUCUGUCACGACAAUUCUACCACGUCUCUACCGUAACAUGUCUCUAUCAUGCCGCAUUCUCUAUCAGACGUCUAACGCAUUGUUCCUACUACUGUUUCUCUACGGCAUCUCUACCACCAUGUCUCUACAAUAACAACACCUCUACCGUGGCGAUUUUACCCUUGGAUCUUGACAAAAACUUUUCUACCACAACGUCUCUACUCCCUCCAGUGUGUUUCUUUAUUGGGGUCUCUACCACGAUAUCUUUUCCACCAUGAUGUUGUCUCAGUCACGACUCCAACACUAUGUUGCUAAGGCGUGUCUACCAAGGGGUCUCUACCAAGGCAUCUCUACCACAACAUUCCACCAUGACGUAUCUACAUGGGUUUCAACCACAAAAUCAUCUCUACCGCAACAACUUUAAAACAAUGACUCGACUACAACGUUUUUAAGUCAUAUCUUUCUACGACGUCUCUACCACAACGUGGAAAAGACGUUCCACAAUUAAAUAGUGUAAAUGUUAGGAGGAAAUAUGAGCUGUUAUAAACCAUCUGUACACUCUUCAUCCACUGUGCCUCCACCCCCACUAAGCUGGCGUGUGAUGCUUCGCCAGUUCCAUCUGUUUGCUGAGAUCAGAUUCAGACGCAGCCAGAUGUGACUCCGACCCAUGGUGCACGGGUGUCAUCACCAAAGAUGGUUUGCCCAUGGAGGCCUCGUCUGGAUUUCUCAGGGAGAAGAGGGUUGGGCUUGACUUUCAGAUCAUAGAUAGAUAGAUGUAAACUUUUUAAUUCAUUGAGUGGGCUUUUUUUAGAGUGUCACUUUGUUUAUGAGUGAUAAAACGGAUAAAUGACACUCAGCUCACAGAAAAUAAUGGAGGUAUCUCCUGGGUUUAUCUGGAACAAGAGGAUUCAUCCAUCCAGGCUCGAUAAUGGGGUUGUCGUGGCGCAGAGGGUAGAGCGGGUGUGCUGGGAACCGCAAGGUUGGUGGUCCCGGCUGCCCCAUGUCUCAAGUUGAAGUGUCUCUGAGCAAGACACCUAAUCCGAAUUGCUCCCCGGGCAAAAUGUAAAAGCCAUGGGUUUAAAGUGUAAUGUAAGUCGCUUUGGAUAAAAGCGUCUGCUAAAUGACCUGUAAUGUAAUAAAAAACAGGUUGUCAGCCAUUUAAGUUAUAACAUUCUGACCUUUAAUAAGUGUCCACAUAAAUCGGUCAUGUUUCUGGAUUAAACACUAAACUAUUGUGGUAACUAUCUUUUCCCAUAACAAUAGUAUUAAUGUUGCUCAUUUACAACUUCAAAGUCUAACGAAUUUGCAUCUGAACAUGUGUCAUUUUGUUUAAUGUGUAAGUUUGUCUGCAUAUCUUUAUAGGAAGGCACGUGUGUCUGUUUCCUAAUGCUCAUUCAUGGGUUUUGAAACAUGCAGUAUCAAUAACUCAACAGUUAUUUUUUCCAGAUUCCUAAUAAUUCACUAGGGGCAUGGAGAUACAAAAGGCAAGGUUGGCAAAUGUAAAAUGAUAUAUCGUCAUUUUCACAUUCCUAACAACCUCUGUACAUUUGAGGUUGUGGAUGGCAAAACUGUUCUCCUUUUGUUGAUGUCUAUUGUCAUUUCAGCACACACCAGGUAACCCACCCCCAGACACCAAUAGACUUUUACUUUUGCAAGGCCCUUCUGGCCAUUCAAAGUGUUUUAACACCAUAUGUCAUUAGUGACCCAUUCACACAUUAAUACAAGGUGUCAUGCCCAAGGGAACAUCGGCAUGGACGGGCAGAUUGCUGUUUUUAUUCAGAAGGAAUUGUACAAAUAACCUUUAUCAGGAGGUAAAUAUUUGGUGUCAGUAGUGUUGAUCAAGAAUUUUUAUUUAAAUGUGGCUUUAUCAGAGCAUGGCUGUCUUAAUACACCACAAACGACAUUCAAAUAUUAGUUAAACCCCAGGAAUGUCAGGACGGCGGGGAAGGCAGGACUCAAACGCAGACUUCAAAAACAACUUUAUUAACAAUGCAACAAUGACCUAUGCGAUUAGCCUCUGGUCUAAAAUUUAUCAGCGGAUAAAACACAUCCACACUCAUCCUAUGGAUUCUUCUGCAUUCUCUGCUAGGGGUAUGAGUGCCUUAUGUUGAGUAUCAUCACCUCAACCAUAGGCAUGUGUCGAUGAGUGUGUAUGCAAGUGCUCAUGUUUUCGCUUGAGUGUGUGCAUGCGGCUCAGGUCCUUAGAGGUUUGCUGCAGCUACGAUACUUCAAGGCUGAGAUGAAGAUUGAGAACAGGUGGUCUUUAAAUGACUCACCUCAGGGAUGGAAGAAAAGCUCUUUCUGUGAUUCCUUUUUCCCCAGUGUAGAAAUCUUCUCAGAGCUUUUGUGGAUGUGAAUGCUUACCGGCUAAUAGUAACCUGUCAGCAAGCCCUUUCCUUUAAUCUACAUGCAGAUCUCUUAUGUUGUCCUAGGAGAAACGGAAGGAACUACUCAGCAAGCCUCAGAGCUCAUCGCUCAUGGCCAAGGUGACUGCACCUGGGUGAAACGUUUCCUCAAUGUCCUAUGAACCUGCUCGCUGAGAAGGUGGAUUGUCACAGUCAAUCAGCUCACAAUUCAAUGAUAGACUCGGGCAGGAAAUCUUUAAAUUGCUCAUGUAUGGAGAGAGAGAGAGAGAGAGAGAGAGAUGGUUGCACAUCAAAGUAUCAGUGAAGUAGAUUGCUUAUGCAUGCUAACAUGGCAGCAAAGGUCACGAAGUGAUGCUAAGUGACUCUAAAUAGAGAGUGGACAUUUUAUUUAAAGAUACUUACUCUUCAGUGAUUCAUGCACUGCAUGAUGUAACAGCCGUAGAUUUUAAAUAUAUUUUUUCUAUAUUCAACAAGAUUAGAGCACGGCAAAAAUCAUGGGGAGUUGAGCUGUGUACAUUGAUGUUACCAACCUGUAGACUAAAGGACGACAUUACAGCAAAGCCGUUUUCACAGGAAUACUGUAAUGGUUAACUGAGUAACAUGUUUUUUCAACGUGAUUUUACGAGGCAAAACAUGUUUAAACCCCAGUCUGGUUUACUUCGAGCAAGAGAUGAAUUGAUGUGUGAUAGUGCUGAAAGGUUAUGGCUGGUUAUACUCUAUAUUUAGUUUCUUUCCUUCUAUUUUAUAAGAUUGGGUUAUGUGCACACUGUAGUGUAUUAUGAAACCCCUUUUGAUGGACGGCCUGUUUUCCCAAAGAAAACGUGUUCGUCAAUUCUGAAAACACACAUUCUCCAAGCAACAAACAAACAGAAGUAUAUUUCUAAUAAUCAGGCGUUAAUAUCUUCCGUAUAUUUCUUUUCAUACAUUAGUGAAGGCAGGACCAACCCUACUCUACUUCUGGUUGUUUUGUUCUUCCUGAACUUAUUUGAACUAGCUUCAGUCUUCAAAACUAAACCAACCCAUGAAGGCAGUGUUGGGUGUUCAGGUUCUGACCAGAGGUCUGAUUAUGUCAUUCUGUAUGAUAACUAUGUGCUUUCAGUUCAAUGGCACAUUUUUUCAGAGUCUUUGGGUUUUGUAAUGAUUGAUGGUCUGUUCCACUCAUAAGAUACUGCUUGCUUACCACUACAGUACAUUUCAGGAACAUUACAGGAUGUUUUUUGAGCACAUUUUUCAAAUAUUAUUAAUUGAAUUUUUUUACCCAAAGACGUUGAGUAUUCCUUAUGAAGAAGUUGUGAUGAGUCCCCUAGAUAAGUGCAAGAAGAAAUUGGUGUAUUAAGAAUUCCGUGUGAUCCAAACACCCAUAAAUGUCAUACUGCACAGGCUGUCAUAAUUUCAGAUGUUUAGAAAUAACUAUCAAUUUUAAUAACUGCUGAUAAGCUUUACCUUCUUUGGUUGGUCAAUCAAAGAUUGAUAAUUAAUUUGGAGGCCCUCAAAAACAAAAUUGCUGAUUUCUACUCUUAUGUUUGAUGUCUAUUGGACAAUAUUGUUGGAUAAAUAAUAUAAACUCUUUACUCUUUAAAGUAAUCCAGAAAAUACAGCUUUGUUUAUUUAACUAUACAUAUACAUUUAACAUAUGUACAUAACAUAUUAUUGAUUCCUACAAAUUAAAAUAGAAAGUACUUACAUACUGUGUGAUUGAGUGGCUUAGAGCUGAUAUUACCUGCUGUGACUGGUGGUAAAUAAAAUAAUGGUUUGAUAAGCAUUUGGGCUUUUUACUUUAGUGGUUGGAUUCACCCAAGUAGAUCUUUGGUCACUGGUCCCCUAUCUAAUCAAGCUAGGUAUGUGGUUUGAGGAAUAAAUUGGUGUGUGUGUGUGUGUGUGUGUGUGUGUGUGUGGGCUGCUGGCUUUAACAAUUUGCAUUUUGAAUGUUUUCUUUCCCAACGGAUCGUAUCAUUAAGCAUAGAGAAGUUAGAGAUUGUGGUCAAAGCUUGGAAUUGAAAGACACCUACAGUAUAUUUGCCAUGACCAGACACAACUGAUAUAUUCAUUGCUGCCAAAAAAUCUCUUUGGGGUUUUCCUGGGCAUGGAGAAGGAGCAAUGUGGUAGCCGGCCUCGUCUGUAUGGCUUUCUUAGCAGAUGUGUUGAUAAAUUAACAUUCCUGUCAUUUCUCGUUGUCUGUACUUUGCUUCGAAUGCAUCUCCAGAACCCAUCAUCCUAGAACAUGGAGCCCCCUGAGUUGAGUGCGAGUCACGCCAGCAAUCUUUUUUGGGGGAUCGAAGAGGGUUUAUUCCAUAUCACGCUCCAUAAACCAGCACUAAACCUGGGAGGGCGAGUAAUCAGGAGGUGAACACAUUGUGGGCCACAGGGAUUCUCCAAUACGGCUGCACCUCAAACUCCCCAGGACUCAUACCAAGCGUUAAAUCAAAGGUGUGUGGGGUAGAGGCAUCGCUUAUUUUGUGGGGCUGGCGAUUAGUCCUGGAGAAAUGAUUCCAUGCUAAUUGGAAAAAGAAACCUAAGAAAACCCAUUAUGUGGCAUCAUGGCGAGAGGGAGUGGGAGAAAUGGAAAAUGUUAUGAAUACAAAUGACAUUGGAGUUUUAAAGUGAGGGGGAGAAAUAUUGGAUUGCAGGAUCAGCGUAAUAUGGGAUGAAAGUAUUUAGAAUGAAAAACAAAGUAAUCCCCAAGAAUGUAAUUUGAAAGCAGAGGCCUCUGGGAUAUCAGGUCUUCGGAUGGCAGAGUUUGAGUUGAGGUGGUAUGAAAGGUUGUUAGGUGGAUAUACCCGCCUGCCCCACAGUUACAAAACCUUAUCAAAAGGACAGCAGAUUUUAACAUGCCAUGAUCACGUCUUCAAAGGCCGUGCUGAGUGAAAAGGAAUGGUUACACUGUAUUGAGGAAUAGGAACUCAAAGAACCUUGGAGGGAAAGGAAAGAAUGCAGACAGUAAUGUGCAGAGGCUGGGAUGUACAUUUAAUUCAAUCUGACAGGAGAGGGGAGGGGAUGGGAGGGGGGAUAAAAACAUCUUUCUCCCUCUUUAGCCAACCUAAGAGCCAACCCCCAUUGAAACGCUUUGAUGGAGAUAGGUAUGCUCCCGUCUCUUCCCCUUCCUUCCUCGGUAAAGGGUGAGAGGGAGGCACUUCGUUGAAAGGGAAAAGUUGCAAUGUUUUCUGUGUGGACAGCCUCAAGGGCAGCUGGCAAGAGAUUAGAGAAUGUUAUUAGCAAGCAAUCGGCUCAUAAUUCCACUCAUAAUCCUCCCACCUGGGAACAAGAGUGAUCUGUGAGUUCGUUUCACCUGAUGCUAUCGGUGACAUUACAUCCCCUGGACUAUAAAACACACUCCUCAGUCCCCCCAGGUAAUUGUUUUGUUUCUUUUUGGCGCUCAAACUAAUCUCAAAUAGUCUCAUAUUUUUUCAAGCCCAAGGGGGUCCCGUUGAAAUUUUCCCAAACCAUGCGCUCUAAAGCAUAAGUUUACUGAUCAUUCAAUCAGGACAGCCUCGGUCCGAAUUGACAAACAUUACACAGUAUAACACUGAAAUGUGCAGAUUAUUUGGCAAUUGGACGCCAUCCUAAACUGGGAUAAUCAAGGGGCCGUGAUGCCGAGUUCUGCUUGGCAGACUCCCCCCUGGAGUCCACACACUGGUGGUGGUGAAGAAGAGAGUUGAGAAAAACCAAGGACAAGUGAACAAUCCCUGAUAGCUGCUGGGGUUUGCCUGGAGUGGAGGAGGGUCAGACCCGGUUUCGCACUGAAAUAACCGGUGACGGCAACACCGAGAGAACCCCUUGACAGCAACUAUAUGAUUGGUUUAGCGCCACCGCCCCGCCUCUGUUGGUCACAUGCACCUGGGUGCAGCCAAUCUCUGCUGAUUGGAUCAUUCUGGGAGACCAGCUGAAGCAUAUCUACAUUAUGUGUGGCACGAAGGGAGUCUUCCUUCUAGAACUACCGCUUAAGCUCCAUUUUACUUGACAUCAUAGGGGGCGUUUUUUUAAAGUCGGGACGCCAAUUUUUACUAAGUAACUAGUAAUAUUUAGGUCACACUUCCUCUCAAAUAUUGGAAGCUAGCUUGGUUCACCUGGUAACGUUGGUGCCAAGCAAUACUAAAGUAAAUAAUAAAUUAUUUUUGCUGAUGUUAUUUCAGCACUUGCAGUGUCCUCGGAAGCUCCUCUGCUCUCAGUGUUUUGUUUCUUUUGGGGGAAUAAACCUAACUGGUUGUCAGCUGCUAACUGCUCGUCUUAGUGAAGAAAAAUCAUUGUAUGAAAAAUACAUUUUGAUUUUGUCAAGACACAUGACUACAUAAAGUACAAACUGCAUUCAUGCAUAAAUGGAUGCAGAUUAGAAGUCGUUUUGAGUCUUUAAUUUCCCUUUAAAUUUUUAGUUUGUAUUGUGAAAACUUGUAUGUGUUACUGGGGGAUGAACAAAUACAUACAACAGUAAUACAUUUUACUCAUAAUUCUUAAGCACAAAAUAGUUUAGUAAGUGGCCUUUAGCUACAAACCUACUUCUAAUGAGAAUGUGCUCGUAUGUAUAUCCAGCACAGCUUUUAAUAGUUCACCAUGUGAGUAAUGAGUAAACCAAUUGAGUCAUGCUUAUGGUUAGAUAUGGUUAGACAUUAUAAAUGAUACUUCCUAGCUAAUAAAUUGUGAAUUGAUGUUAAAUUUAUUGAUGAAUCCACUUUAAUAAACUCUUGGUAAAUGUUAAUCACAGUAUGAAUCUAUAGCGCUGACAACAGCCCUGAAAUAAAGCCUUAAGUUUUAAUAUCAGUCACUGACGCAGCUUUUUGCUAUUUUGCACUUCUGGUUGGAUGUUAAACUGCAUUUCAUUGCCUCAGUACUUGUACCCUGUGCAAUGACAAUAAAGUUGAAUCUAAACUAAUCUAAUCUAAUCUUGCGAGGGAACGAAGAAACCUUUUUCAACGCUGCUAUUAUUUCGCAGGCCAAAUAUUAUUUAAACAUUGUAACUCAAUGUCUAAUGCUUCAGUCACGUGAAGUUAUGAGUGUCUACAGAUCAUCAAAAAAUGUUUUAAACAUACAUUCACCCGAGAGUGAUUAUCUGCGUGUUUAUGAUUACUUUCUCACAGCAAGUUUUCUAAAAAAACACGGCAUAAUAAUGGGGAUUAAUUUAGUCAACCAUUUACAUUUUUUUUCAAGGUUUGACUUUCAUCGCCCACACCCACGAGAGUAAUUGUUGUUUUUCGUCACAGCGACACUUUUCUCAGAACAAGGUCAUCAGAAAAAGCCUUUUAGAGAACUGUUUCCAUUCAAGAAGCUCUUGGUUCGUCUUUGAUCAGCCGAGGCAGCUCAGUUUUAUUACUACCGAAAUGCACUUCUAUACUAUUUCAUUGUCACUGCCUUAAAUGCAGCACAGAAAACAUAAUAAACUCAUUUAUUAUUAUUAUAAUCAGCGUAUCACUUUAAAUGUAUUAAUUACGUUUCAGGUUUAUUAACCUCACUGUAUUGUGUAUAUAUAUUAUUUGGUGACUUUGUAUUUUCACAAAGACCUUCCUUCUGUCCGGUUUACCUGAACAACCAGAGAGAGCGCCAGAGAUGAGACCCCAAUGAACUCUGCAAAAUACAGAAAAGCAGAUAGUAGAGGUUGGGGUCGGGAUGUGCUCACUUCCAGUAUCUUGUCGGCAGGACUCGAUGUUCACAACAUAAUAUGUGCAUUUUAAGUAUGCAUUAGUGAAAGGUAACCUUGAAUAUAUCUGGAUAAAAAAGCUCAAACUAUGAAUUGGAAUUGACUCGCUGUGAUCCACAUGCUGACCAGUAUUCCCUCUCUUUUUGCCUUCAGCUGAGACUACGUUCAACAUCUAAAAAUGUAAUAAAAACAACAAAGCUGAUCACUCUUCCUCUAUCAUAAAGAUCAAAUUUGUCAACAUGGUGAUAAUGAUAAAAAAAAAAUUGGGGGGUCUGCAUAGGGGAAUGACAAUAAUUGCGGCAGCCAUAAACUUGUGCUUUAUCGCCUUUUAUAUGGUGUUCAUGUUCCGUGGUUGAUGUGCUCAGGUUUCACGACACCCACAGUGAGACAUAGCGGGACUGAUCACAACAAUAAAACCCCAAAAGGGGCAAAUGGCAGAUAAUACUCUUGCCUCACUAGUCGUGUGUUACUAAUAUUUUACCAGUGCAAUGCAAUUAUAGUUAACAUGUGAUAAACUUUACCAGACUACAGACGUUCCUCCAAGAUUCUAGGAUCUGUGUGAAAUGACUGAGAUCAAACCUACCCACCUUUUAUCCUGUGACUGAAAGCUGGAUGAGGAGUGCAUCUUAUUUGAAUAAUUACUUAGGUGAGAAAAGUCUGCUGUCACAUUGCUGCACAAAAUAUCCCAAAUUAGCAUUUAAAUGAGCUGUUAGAAAAAUUCUCACUUGACACCGGUGUAAAAUCGUUAAACAUUUGUUUAAUGCUAGCAAGCACAGAGACAGAAUUGACAACAUUGACAGUAUUAUGCGUUGUCAAGGCUACUCAAAGGUCUUCCUCUUUGGAGCGCGAAUGUAUAGAAGGAAGAUAAACAUGCUAGACAGGGGGCGCUCCCGGCCAAAACCAAGUGCUGGCAGCAUGUAGAUGGUCACCUUUUGGAGGUGAACAUCAACGCAAAUAUCUUGAUGAUCAGAUGACCCAGAACACAAUGUACCUCUGUGUGAAAGAGCAGGGACUUCCUGUUGUCCAAGUUCUCUAAGCUAAGAUGAAACAUUAUUGCAUUAUUCGGUUUCCAACAUUAAGCUACAAUGCUUUCAACAUGAAAACUAUUCAACAUCCAAUCCAAUGGUACAUCUAUUGUGCCAUCUUGCAACACCUUAUGUUGGGGACUCGUAAUUAUCUUCAGUUAUUAUUUUAUUUAUUGGCUGGGCAGGCUGCUUUGAGCCAUUUAGGAAGCCAUGCUGUAUCCUUUCCCUAGUUAUUAGUGACAAUGACUUGAAGACAUCUGAAUGUAAAAUUAAAUUCAUACACAGACAUUUCGAUUAGUUAUGCAAAUACGUCCACAGCGUUGUCCUCUGUUACCGUCUGGGUAUUGCAGUGUGGUUAUUGAAAUGAGGAAGUCAUUAACAGUGAUUUCAUUUUCUUUGAAGUAUUCAAAUCUAGUCGCGUCAAACUCAGGCUUAGUUUUGCUCUGGUACAACCAAACAUUAUGCAUCUUUAAUGAUUUAUUCUGUAAUCUUUGCUGCUCAAUGUUAACUAAUUUACAGAUGACAGUUGAUAUGCAGCAAACCACAUGACAAAGAGUAUGUCAUGACAGGGUUUAUGUGGGACAACUGUGCUGAACCUCGAAAAAAAGCAUAACAUUAAAAGUAAAAGCAAAGGGAGUUUUGUGGUUUGCUAUCAAGUACUUGCUAACAUGUGCUAGGUUCUUACUAUGACUGAUGGGGUGGUGUGCACAUGAACGUGUCCUUAUCUGCUAAUGAUAGAACAGUUGGGUUAUUAUAUUUCUUUGUCUGUGGACCUUCAAGAAAGUUCAAGUGGAUUUUUCCUUGUUGAUUUCACAGACUAUUGAACAUCUACAGUGGGUAAGUGUUUGCUCAUUAGUUAGGAGAGUUUUUAUCUUGUCCAGCAUAUGUUUGUAAAUAUUUGGGACGAGAUCACAGCGUUUUUAUGUUGUAAGCCAUGUUGCAAACGAAACCUGAUGCAAGCAAAGAAGAACUUCAGAGGAGAGCCCGACAUUUUUAGGCGGUAAAACGCACUUUGGUGGAUGCGGUCGCUCAUAAAAUCAGUUGAUGGUUACCUUGAUUAUUACUUUCUAAGUCACAUAUAUUUUAUUUCUAUAUCUGUGUAAUCAUUCACCUGGUCAAAGUCCACACAAAACAAGUCCCAUGUUUCUGUGACGCUAUAUUGUUUUAAAAGUAUAUACCCGAUGCCAGGUCUAAUUUGUAUAGUGUGUACAUGACUAAAAAGUAAAGUCAAAUAAGAAUCAUAAUUGCCUCAAUGCUCUUUUCUUUGUCCUAAGUGGUUGCCUAAUUUUAAUUGUAGCCAAUGACAGUAUAUUCAUAUUUAUGCAGUGUCUUUAAAACUGCUGGAGCAAAGUUAUCAAUGCGCCCUGCAAAAUGUUAAAUUGGCCGUCUCUUGGGGUCGAUCCAUCAAACCGUAUCUUGAAAGGACUGGAUAUCUCUUUCAUUACAUAAAAUUAAACUAAGAAAAUAACAGAUUGGAGAACGCAUAGUAAAAGGAAGGAAUUAUCUUGGAAUUGGUAACUAAUGGGUGAAUUGAAAUAAAAUGAGUAAAAGCACAAUUUAGUGAAUUCCCUAAAAUGAAAUCACUAAAAGUCCUAAAAUCACAUCUAUGUGAUAGACCAAUGCGUGGACAGUAAGCAUGAAAAGCCAUUGUAAUCAUUGUUGGAGAAAAUUAUGGGGGCAUUUUUUGCCCCUCUCCUAGUGAUAUCGGGGGGGAAAUUUAGAGGUCGACACGGGAUGUAUUGGCAUGUUAUGAAAACACAACAUUGCAUUGCAUGUCAUUUAGCUGAUGCUUUUAUCCAAAGCGACUUACAGUGAGUGCAUUUCAACCAUAAGGUUACAAACUCAGAAGAAAGUGCAAUUAAAAACUGAUCUACAACUUGCUUUUGAUAAGAGCUAUUACAAGUACAAUUUAUGUGCUAGUGUUUUUUAGUCGAGGUAGAGUCUCAAGACGUGUGUCUUUAGUUUGCGGCGGAAGACUCCCAGCGGUCCUGUGGUCAUCAGAUAGCUCAUUCCACCAUCUAGUCGUGAUCUUGUGUUUUGCUCUCAGUGAGAACAAGCAGUUCAGCAGAUGCAGAGCGGACAGUGUGGGUUGGGAUGUAGGGUUUGACCAUGUCCUAGAUGUAGACCGGACUCGAUCCAGGGACAGCAUCGUACUUGAGCACCAAUGUUUUGACCUGGACCUGGAUGCAGCCACUAGUAGCCAAUGCAUGAAUAUAAAUAACCUGACGAACUGCUUGCGUUUCAAUCUCUUCUCUUUUAGCUCCUUCUCGCUUUCUACCGAUCUAGAAAUGAGUCCUCAUUUUCUAACCCCCAAAAACUCUUUUCUAUCUUCUCCCACCUCCUCGAACCCCCAGUCCUGCUCCCCCUUUUUCCAAAAGACUUUGUCAACUAUUUUACCAAAAAAAUAAGUGACAUGUGCUCCUCUUCGUCAAACCCACCUUCUGUUCAUGUGUCUCAAGCCCUCGCUUCCCUCUUUCACCCCCCUGACUCCUAACUAAGUUCUAUAACAACAAAUUCAGCAGACUAGCUUGGUUUAAAGAAAAGAAGCCUGAUUUCAACAUCAGGGCCCCGUUCCUCAGACCGGAUUAUUUUCAGCUUUUCAGUUCCACAAAGCAAGUUUGGGGAAAUCACCUUAGCAACACAUCAGGCUAAUUUAAGUCUGCUGGAUAAGCUUGGCAGUUCCCGUCCUCAGAGAUCCCAUUGAUGAAGAAGCGAUAUUAGUUAGAUUAGCGUUUUAUACGGAGAGAGUUCUUUGAGGUCGCCAAGAUCCAUUAUCACAUUACAAUGACUUCCUAUAUGAGAGCUAUCGAUUCUGCCGACAAGGAAUCAAUUGUUUUCAAGACGACCUCCUUGAGCCAUACCUUGUGAACACCACACCCCGCAGCCGAGCAUUGACUUUCUCACACACUGUGCAUGUUUGUACAGCAAUGCGGAGAAGAUUGGGAACCCCGCUCCAUGCCUUGCAGUUCAUUCGGCACUUAUCAUUAUGAAAUAUAUCUACAUACUGCCCAUACAGAUUCUCACACGAGUAUUCAAAGUCCUAGUUUUAUAUGGUCAUCUACACACGUAUGUAAUCAAAACAUAAACGCAUACAGUAAAUGCAUCCUCUACACCAGCGAUUCCCAAAGUGUGGGCCGCGAAGGUACUGCAGGUGGGCCGCGAGAGGUCAUUUACAAUAAAUAAAUACGUUUUUAAUUUUAAAUUUUUAAAUUAAUAUAUAUAUAUUAAUAUUCAUGAUGCGGCACAUUAGUUAUGUGAAAAAUUAAUUGAUGAAGCACAAACAAUUUAAACGAACAGAUUAAUAAAACUAUGAGGCUCUCGUUCGAAACGGCUGCUCUUGUCCGCCUGUCGUUGUUCAACAAACGCGGCGCCCUCUUGUAGUAUUAAAGUAAAUAUACCGCAUUUUCCGCACUCCAAGGCGCACUUAAAAGGCUUUAAUUUCCUCUAAAAACGACAGUGCCUUAUAAUCCGGAUACUGGUUGUACACGGCGCUCAAGGCGCUCUGCCACCCAUGCCAAAGCUCGGUCUACGACGGCGAGAUGCAGAGCGGGCGCUCAAGCGCGUGAGAUAUUGAGCUUGUUUCUGGGCGCGGCAGAGAAACAAAGCUGUCGUUCUUGCCAAGCACUUCAUGAGAUUAAAGAGCGAGAGACGGUGUAAGGUUUAGGUGAAGGUUCGUGCCCCAAAGCAGACAAGGAGAGGUUUGUAGUUAGAUAUGUGAACAAAGUUUAUUUGCUGGCGAGGAUCCUGGCAACGGGCAGGACGAAGAGCCGGGCGAUGACGCACGCGAGAGUUCGUAGUGGACGGAAUAAUCUGGUGUCGACGUGAUGAGACGCCCAGGUUUAUAUGGAGGAGGAUGAUUGAAUGCAGGUGUGCCUCGUCCAGUUGCCGCCAACAGCCAGCCGCACCCCCUGCCGCACACAAACACAGGAGAACACAGCCAAAACCCAAACAAACAGAAAAAACAAUCACCACAGUCGGUGCCCUUUUUUCUACAGUAGCUGAACCAUCUUAACGGGGAAAAUAAGUUAUUCUAAAAGGGGCCCUUGGUAGGCGGCGCGGCUGGAGACCAGCCGAAGAUUUAAGGCGUGGAUGGCGAGGGGGGCGGCGGGACCGGAUGCACCUCGCAGCAUCGAUCGGACCCUGAAAGCACCAUCUCACCUCCCCACAUCCCCAUCCACCCCGACGCCAAAUGUUUGACUGCUAUGGCGGUAAAUCACCGGUCUGUGAGCUGGACGCAUUGGUCUUAAUGUGCCGGUAAUGAUGGUAAAUGAUGGUUGUAGCUGGUUGUCAUCAUCAGUACGGUGAUUAAAAGGUUUGGUUGGGCCGCAAAAGAUUUUCAGAUUUCAAAGUGGGCCGCGGCAUUCUUGAGUAUGGGAACCGCUGCUCUACACCCUUUAUUAAUUUGUAUUGGAUACUCUUUGGGCUUGUUUUUAUCUACUUGUUCUGAAAAGGUUGAGAUAAUCAUUUUCGCCAGCAAGAUUGCAUUCCAUUAAACCUACUGCCAGCAGGUACAUUUAAAGAAAUCUAAUCUAAUUAAUUGAGAUGAGGCACUUAAAUGAGCCUAUACAUUUUCUCAAAAUGUAGGCAUUUAACUUGUCUGCGAUAUUUUGCCGUGCUUCUUGCGGGAAGAAGUUGUAUGUCACUUGCAUAUUUCCUUCUUACUGACGGUUAGUAACAUGCAAUCAUGUAUAAAUUAUAAAGUGGCCUCACACAUUCAUUCACAAAAUCAAAAAUGGUUGACUAUUUCUGUCACACACGUGUGUAAAAAUUAAUCGAUCAGCUCCCUGAGGCCCUUAGUGUGUGUUAUGCAGCCCACCCGCUCUUUGGCAGGGUUCCGCCUAUUGACAAUCAAUGCUCAUUUGAUUCACUCGUCCACACCCUUGAAUUGAUCUGUGUUGCCCUGGAGAGAUUGAGACUGAUCAUCCCUUUUCCUAUACUGUGUGGAAUGCAGAAAGCUUACAUGGACCCAAGAGAAAAGACGGGGUGUGAAAGGUCUUUGGUAGUGGGAGUAAAGGGAGACCAAGGGAGGACACCGGAAUUGCCAGGAUUAAAUUAUAAUAUUCUGCAAUGGUUUGUACUCGAAUGGAUGAGUUUAGUAAGUCUUGUGGAUGAAUAGAUGGAAAUAGGGGGCCAUAGUGAUGAGGGAGGUAGAGUUCAAGAAACCACUGUCGAUAUCUAAAGAACACUAAUGGGGGGAACGUGCAAAUAUCAAUUUUUCCCCACAAAAAGGUUGAAAAGGUUAAUAUCCAGUUUUAGAUUCAGCAAAAGAAAAAAAACAGAAUGAGCAUCCGGAGGCAAGAAGAGCACAACCGAGCCCAAGGGUGACUGCGAGCUAAAUGAAGCUCUAGCACAAGUUCAGACAGGAAGACUAUGCUCUGUAUGGAAAAGCCUGGAGCUUAUUUCACAUACCUCUGUCAACCUCCUCACACAUCCUCACGUUUUGUUUCCUUGCGAUUAUUGUUCGGAGCUGUCAAUCAGGACAUCAGGGAUAUAGAUGAGCUUGUCUUUUCUAUCCAAUGAGCACAACAAACCAACUGCAUCAUUAGCCUGUUAUCUGUUGUGUAUUUUAAAUAUGGUUGUCCAAUUGCAAAUCUCCCUGAGUCGGCUUGGAAGACUUUAUCAUCCCGUGUCAUUCAUCAAUAAAACUGUUUUCUUUCUUUAUCUUACUUUUGUAUUUCCUGAUUGAACCGUUAUUUGGUUACUGCCACUUUGUGUGGGAAACAUUGCAAUCAAAGACAAGCUUAAUUGCCACAUUGAAGGCCGUGUCCUGUGUAGGAACAUGGCUAGGUAAGGUAAGGAUGUUCAUUGUCAUUGUAAAAAAAAGUGUUAGGAUUAGGUUAAAUUAAAUUGGCGACUCGUACAAAUUAUUGUAUAAAAACACACAAGAAAUGACAUAAGUAUAUAAUAGACAGGCAUCAAUGGCUAAAAAGAGAAAGAGAUGCUAAUUCCAAGUAGCAGAGGCAACAUGGUUUAACAAAGCAGCACGUGUGAUAUUCUCAUUGAGUGCUAUGGACUGAUGUAUCCCUACUAGUGAUGUGAUAUUCCCUAUCCCGCAGAAUGUGGCAGCAUGUUGAUACAUAUUGGGCUACCAGAUCUGCCUUGUCUCAUUAUCCCCAGAGUUAUUUUUAUAUUCUAAGAGCACUUCAGAGUCUGAGAUGACACAUUUGAAUCUGUCAAAUAUACAUAUGAUAAUUAUUGUUGGUUGCAAAGCAUUUUUGUGUCUACCUAUUCUGAUUUCCAUAUUGUGGUCAUUUUUUUAUUUUUUGGUCACUGAGCCUAUAUUUAGUUACAAUCUGUCUUUCCUGUCUAUAGCUAUAUAUACGCAUCCUCUGAAGAAGGUCGAACCGACCGAAAUGCCAGGAUCUUUUUAUUAUCUUCUGAGCCUCUAGCCUUUCUGCUUUUAAAUAUAUGGGUUUUAUUUCAUGUUUUUUUUUAAUAUCUCUGACGAGCUGAUUUACACUUCUAUUGCAUUUUACCGACUUUACUGUACGGAGUUGAACUUUUGAUGCCUUCCGUAUUUUUUUACCAGAAAACCAAGGCCCCAAAAUACUGAGGCACCUCAGGAGUGUGGGGUGGUUUAUCCAGUUUUAUCCAGAGUUUUAUUCAAGUGCUCUUUUGUGUGGUGUAUUUUUUUGCAUUUAAAAAAAUAUUUUAAAAACAUUAGAAAUGGCCGGUGUAUGUGACCCCUUGCAUCUUCUGAGAUACCCAUCAAUUGCACUAUGGAGAUUGUGUUUACCUUGCGAUCCGACUUUAGGUCCUCUAUGUAUUCAUCAAUGAGAUCUUCGAGAAUUAUUGUGUACAGAGGGAUUGAUUUUAACCACUCUCUUUUAGAUCUGUACUCUUAACCCAUGUCUUUUUAGAUGUAUUUAAUUGACUCCUAAUAUUUGCACACCAAAUAUUAUUUUAACAAAAGGAGCCAAUUAAUCUGAAAUUCACAGCGGGGCUUUUGGCUUUGGGAUUUAUUUACUUUCCACAAUCAAAUCAUAUUACUUACCUGAUCCGUGUGGUCACUAACGAUGCCUUGCAAAACCAUAAAUCUAUUGACCCUUCACCAUUGCUCCACACAACAGUUAGGAGGACAGGAGGAGUCAUUGGACAGCUGACACCUGAGAAUGGAAAAGAAAAUUAUGAAAACGGUAUUUUAAACUGUUGCAGGUCAUCCAUCACACACAGAUCAUGGAAAAGGUCACUAUUGCAUAACUUCCUGGUGGGAACAAUAAAACAAGCUCGUAAAUUGACCUUCAUAAAACCCUCAUCUACAAAUGAUGAGACUGCCGAGAUAAUCAAACAGAAUACCAACCAAUGGAUUAAAACAUCAAUAUCCUCCAAUGCCAUUACAAUCAGGUUAUAAAGGCUGGCCUAUGAGAACUGCUCCCCCCCCAAAAAAAAUAUUAGAUUGCCUUGAAGAAAGCCAUACUAUAAUAAAUCUCAGGCUCAUCUAUAGUAACUUUGAGGGCCUUAGUGGGGGAUGGGACUCGGGCACCGUCGGAGUCCAGUAGUGGGACCACUCCCUCGGUACGUGAUGACAUGGAGGGGGACAUGGUGGGGUAAGCGGGACAACAAGUCCCAACCAACUCUUGGAGGGCCCAUUCUGCGUCCCACGUUGAGCUCCGGCUCAUUGCCCUUGCAUCUGCCCCUUGAGCAACCUCCAUGGUUGCCAAAACUCUAGCCUCAACCUGAACCCCACUCACAGGCCUCCUGGGGAAGCUGAACACCUGCACCACCACCCGUAGAAUAGUUCUCUGCAUUGGACCUUAACAACUGCCUCAGAGGCAAUAUAUUUUCAACUGUGAAAAAAAACAUUCAGACAACUAAACAGUUGCUCUCCGAACAUUCCCUGAGGCCCACGUCGCAUUCACAAGUUUUUUUUAACUAUAAUGUUUCCUCAUACAAGUAUUUGGGAAAAAGAUCCCAAUUAAGUGUUUCCAGAGAAUUUUAUUAAAAUUAUGGGAAUCGUUGAAAACAAGGAGAUUUUUACAAAGAUAACCUCCUAUGAAGCCCCCUCAACAAUGAAUCUUCUUCAUUAAACCUAUCACUUUCUCCCUUUGCAAAAAAAACCAAGGGUAAAUUGCUGGACGCAAGAAGAUAUACUAACUCAUCAGGGUCUUAAAAAGUUCAGUCUUCUAGGGCAAUCUAGAAAAUAAAGAUAAAAAUCUUUUUAAAAAAAGGUUUUUAUAUGACACCACCAAUUCUGAACAUUUAGUAUCAUUGAUCUAACUGUUUGUAGAACUUCAGGUACCUAUAAUGAACCUUAAUUAUAUUUGUAUGGGUCCCUUUUGUGUGGUGCCUAUAAAGACGAAAAAACAGAUACAUUGUAUUGGCAAAGGCACAAUUCAGAGCCAUUCCAAAUGAAGUCACCUACUUCGCCGAGGAUUCUUAUGACAUUUAUUGAUGUCUUUAAUAACUUUCUCCUUUCUGUUGGGUAUAAAUGGACAUUGAGGUUCUGGGGUGGUGCUUGUGGUGCCAUGUGAAACAUAACAGUCAACAAGACAGGGAGACUGAUGGGGAGAGGGAAGGACAGACAGUGGUUGAGAGGCAAAGUGGAAGAAAUCCCACGAGUUCAGUAAUACUAAUCCCUUUGGCCAAGAUCUGAGUCAAUUCUUCUUCAUUUGUCUUUCAUCUUGCCACUGCUGUCUGUGAAUUGGGCUCCUCCAAAAGGCCUGUCAGGCACUUAUUGAUGCUGUCUGGCCUGAAGGGUUCACACAAUCCUGAAAACGGGACCAGAGAUGUGCAGGGUCCGAGAGGGUAAUUGUGUCAGGGAUUGGGGUUGGUUGCCAUAUAGCUAGCCAGUUUGGGGAUUCUGAAAAAUAGCCCGAGAUAGAACUGUAGCUGAAAAAUAAAAUGGAGUAAAAGGUUAUUUGCACUCAGUUUGAUAAUGCAGGAAUUUUAGCUCUACCGUAAAUUCGGACAGGACACAGUUGUUACAUUAGACAAAGCUGCUGCAGCAGAAAUGUUUAAUGGAAAUGUAUACUUAUGUGUGAUGUAAUAACACAUGCAAUGUACAAUAUGUCAGUUGUGGCUAUGAGUCUAUUCUGGAAGAUAGUUUUCUGGCUGAGAUGAGAGCAACUCUAUGCUCAUUAGCCUGCUGUCACAAAGAAUGUGAAAUGUCCACAUCUUAAUGGUGCAUAUGUUGAUGCUAUAAUCCGAAGUAAAAAUUGUUUGCCAAAACGACAGACUUUGUUGCCCGAAUGUAAUGUUAAACUUCUUUAAUCCAACUAUGUAGUUUGAUGCUUCGAUCUGACAUUAAACUUGUUUAAUCUGACCUAAUUACUUCUGUAUAACUAUACUAUUGAACUGGUUACAUUUGUUGCCCAAAUUUGAUGUUAAAGUGGUGUAAAAUUGAAAUUUUUAUUGCCUAAAUCCCAAAACUUUGGUAAACCUAAUGUCAUAGUUUUGAGGCUCAAAUCUAAUUUUAAACUGAUUCCACAAAACAAUAUUUUUGUCUAAAUCGAAAGUAAUAAGUGUUUACUUAAUAAUGUAUUUUUAUUUUGUCAAUCUAAAGCUAACUAGUUUAAAAUAACCACAAAGUUCCUCUAAUCUGACGUUAAACUAGUUUAACCAAACAACGUAGUUUGGUGCUUUCAAUCAAACUACAGAUUUUUUUGCUUUGAUUUCACCUUAACUUCCAAACACGACAGACAAUUUCACAUUCUUUCUCCGUGUACAAUGAAUGUGUUCUAAGACUUUCUAAAUAUAUAGUGUAUAUCUUGUAAGUCAAUUAAUACUGAACAUGUGACAUCAAUAAUAUGAAGUUAAUUAUGGUCAAAGAAGGUCUGUCAAUUACCUCUUACAGACUUAUUUUAUCCCCAGUCUUAUUUUCUUGGUCAGGUUUUGAGAGCAAAAGGAUGUUGUAGGUGUACAAAUUGGACAACCCUGCACAGCACAUUUAUUUUGGACUAUAUCAAAUGAGUUAAUAUUAUAUUAAAUUAUUAUAUCAUCAUUAGUAAGCAGAUAAUUUUAAACUAAACUGCAUCGGUAGAUCUAGGAUAAUUAGGCGUGAAGCGUCUGCUAUUCUCAAUAUCUCUGCAGCCCCCACUUUGCGUCCAAUAGAGUCCGUAUGAACUUGUAACGGUAAAUUGGUUUUGUGAUUGAUUUAGUAUAGUAUUGAACUGUUAAAGGAACUGUAUGAUGUGCCGAGUGCUUUAAUGAUUGAAUACUUAGAAAGACUGCACAGCAGAAAGCCAGUCUCCCCCCCGAGGGACACGCCGCGCGCAAAUAAAGUUAAGGCUCUCGGCGGUGUGAUGUGAACGAAAUAUUGUUUUGUCAGGGUAAGAAUGGUCCACAGUCAAUAUAUAUAGGAUUGAAUGGCCAGAGCAAAAUGGAAAUUUGCACGUAGAAAUAACAAAAUGUUGUCAUUGUCUCAAUGGCCGUUUUAGUGAAAAAACACUAAAACAUUUUGAUAGAAUAAGUCAAUUCCUUAAAUAAAAACGGCAGCACAAAGAUUGUUUGCUUCAGCUUGAUUCCUGUUUUCACAGUGAAAAUACGAAGUCAAAGGAAGACCUAGGAGGUGGAGGUCUGUGGACCCGGUCUAUUAAGACAAAGGAAAAAUUAGGUGGGGGUCUGUUCGGAAAAGAGGUGUGACCCGGUGUGGUGGAAAGAAAGUUACAGAACAGUCUGUAGUUAAAUAAGUCAUUAAUUCGUUGUGGCAAAGUAAUUGAAUAUUUGAAUGAAUGGGGAAAUGUGAUUUAAAAAAAAGUAAGAAUUGUUUUAUAUAGUGCCUCAAACUUGCAAAUUAUUGAUUCUUGCAUGAUAUAUGAUGUACCUCGCACGGUACAUUCCAUAAAACAUGUUAAUGAUGCAUCAUAGGAAAAAAUAGGUGGCAUCCGUACAUGAAAAGAUAGAAAGCUUCUUUACAGACUGUCAUCCUGUAAUGGUUUUAACAAUAACACAAAUUUGACUCAUGAGUUAUUGAUGAUCUGUUGUCUCUAGAAAUAGAGGAAUGCACUAGGGGUUCUGUCCUCACGGGUAGAAAAUGCAGAAACAGCAGACAAUGACAGAAUAGGUAUGAGUGAUUAGCCAUACUAGAGAAGACGGGAGCUCUAUUACCUGCUCUUCGGUUUAUCACCUGUAGAAGAUCGACUAAAUUUCAAACCCUUCUCAAAAGAAACUGACCCUUUUUCAUAUUGCUGUUUAAAGCUGCAUAACCACUGUUUCUACACAAAACCAAUACAUAGGAUAGAAUAUAGCAAGGAAAGUUGAGGAUGUGUGGAAACAUGAAUAAAAUCAUGGAGUCCCUGACAAAGGAUCUUAGCUUAGGACAGCUAAUGAGUUAUAAACUCAUAACAUGCCAAUUGCAUACUUUCAGAUGUGUUUUGAAUGUUAUGGAAAGAUGGCGAGAGAGUUAAACAGUAACCGACGGUCUUUGUAACAGAUAAUAACACACACACACACACACACUGUUCAUAGAGCUGAUGAGAGGGAGACAAUGUCCCUUAAUACCUCCCCUUUCUGGGAACAGUCUGCUCACAAAUGUGGGAAAUUCGACCACCCCCUCCAGUGGAAUUGCAGCAGACUCAACAAGAUCAAAGAGGAAGAGGAGCUAAAUCACACUUCAAGGACGACAGCCAAAUGUCAACUGACCAAGCAUCUGGAACGAUACAGAUGUUCCAGCAGCGGAAGAAGACGGGGAGGGAGUAUAAACACAUGCAUACAAUGAAGAAUCAUAUAUUCACCCCCAAAUACUGAUCUCAUACAGUAUUGCACACCAUUUCUGGGUUAGAAAAGGGAGAGAAACUACCUAUUCUAACUCAUGCUAAAUAUGAUCAGGAUGCAUACAAACGAUUGCCAAUGGUUGACCAACAGAAAUAAAGGUUCUUGAUCAAUUCCAUCUAAUUCCGUCAUAAUGUCCAGAAGUUUGACCGGAUGUAAGACUGAGCAGCAGAUUAACAUAUUUGCAUACUGACAGUGAACAAUCUGCAGACAGCGGUAUCCCGAGCUCUACGAUACAUCCUUGUACCUGCGACCGGUCUGGGAAAAAUCUCGCACUUUUAACAACCAGCAUACAGCCAACCAUAUGCGCAUUUUUACAACAUCCCAUCACUGAAUAUAGUACAAUAAGGUGUAGGGUAAUUGUGUUGUUGAACGACACACUGAUACUAAAUUAAAAGAGCCUGUGUGUUUGGCUGUGCUUGAGCAUACGAUGUCUCUCCAUGGGACAGUUCCUUCGGAAUGGAAGUAUGACGUGAAGGCGGUGAAGUCCGGUGCCUGAUCCGAGCCGACGAGCUAACGGCUAGCACCAAGUACCGCUGGAAGCGGCAGUCAUCCAGACGCAGUUCCUGAAGAAGUCGGUGAAAUUUACCAAGCUGUCUACGGAUGCUAUUUAGUACAAAAACAUGACUGUUUGGUCGUCCGACGCAAGUAGAACUUCCACAACAAGUACAGAGUCGCUAUGACAGGUAGAGUCGCAAUUGAUGCGAGGGAAAAACGAUGGCGGAAAGUCGAUCGGUUUCAGGGUGAUAAAUCAUGGGCCCUCUCAGUCGCGAAUACAUGAUACACGCAAAUUGACCACAAAUGUACCAUCAGAUAUAACCACUGUAAGAGCCCGAAGUGUGUUUUUUGUUUAAACUGGAUGUUCUUAUAUUGAAGACAUUAUAUUGGAUAUAUAUGUUGGCAUGACGCCCCCCUUUAUUUUCUUUCUUAUAUUGACGUCAUGUUUGCAGCAGGUGCACCUUAGAUGGGCUGAUUAGGCACUAGAGGACAGUUUUUCUACCGUGUGACGGGAUGUGUUUUUGGUAUGUUUGGUUAACGCUUUUGUUGCGGAAAUAAACACCAACCAAAAGAAUAUAAAGAUCUCGUGUUAUUCGCAUCAAGGAAAUGGACUCAGUGUGUCUGUGGCUUAAUAAUGUUCGGGACCGAAGGAACGCCGCUACAACCACCAUCUACAGAAACCUGUGGGAGGGUAAGCGCAAGACUUGAAGUGGAAGAAAUAAAGUCAGUAAUUGCAUUAAUGUGGACACUAAUGGGACUAAUAAUAGUGUUAGAAGCAGCGGGUGUCAGCAGGGCCAUGUCUGGAGGCAGGACCUAAUCAUCAUCCAUGGAAACCUGUUAGGCAAGAAAGCGCAAACACUCCGGGGAAGAAGCUGAAAUUGUGAUUUUCAUUAAUGAGAUAUGCAUUCUUACGGAAGGAGAGAGGGGGAGAGAGAGAGAGAAGAUGAGCUCAGUGUGUCCUAAGAAAUUCCCCUUCAGUCUGCUCAUACAGCAACUUAUCGAAGGGCUGGUCCAGGCUGACCUGAGCCAGCCCUAACUAUAUGCGUUUUUAGAGAGGAAAGUCUUAAGCCUAGUCUUAAAUAAGGUGACUGUCUGCCCACCAGACAAAAAAGUGAAAGCUGGUUCCACAAAAGAAGAGCUUAAUAACUGAAGGUUCUGGCUCCCAUUCUACCUUUUAAGACUCUAUCUAUGGAGCGCAGCUCUCUCGCAAGGCAAUAUGGGAUUAUAAUCUCCAUAAACAAGGCGGCGCCUGAGCAAUUGUACUCUGCGUGUAGGUGAGGAUAAAUCCCUUAAAUUCUAUUCUUGAUUCAACAGAAAGGCAGUGUAGGCUUAGCAUAAGUGAAACCAGGUUGGUCAGAAUACAGGAGUAAUAUAAUCUCUUUUCUUAGCUGUUAAUACACAUGUGCAUUAUUCCUAGAGAGGCUUAAGAGCAGCCUAAUUGCAGUAAUCUAUCCUAGAAGUGUGAUGCAUCAUCAAGGAGGUGUGGUCAUCUCCUCCUCAUCCUGGGAGGCGGUGGCUGGAACAGCUGUCGGCAAUCAGCCAUCAGAAGAACCUAUAUA